GACCGCGGGGAGGGAAGUGGCCACAGAGCGAGUCUUACUGCUUCCUCAGGUUAAAAGAAAAUAAAGAAUUAAAGCUGCAAUUCCGCGCACAGCUCUGAGAAGCGUUGGCUCGGAUUGGCUUGGUUCCAUUAUAUAAGGAAUGGACUUCUUCAGGAAAGCAAGAACUUCAUUACCAUGUGGGCAGAAACCACCAAGUGAGGGUAACCGGCCAUCCAAAAUGAGCAACCACUCCAACCCUUGAAAAAAUAACUUCUGAAGUUAGAGCUGAGACAGCCAACACAAAUCUGUGAAAUAACUUUGGGCAUGUUCUCUCAGAAGAGGCAUAGAAGAAGAAAAGAUGAAAUGUGGCAAAGCAGAAUUAUUGGUAAUAGAAUGUAAAGCUGCUUUUACGCUGCCUCAUUUUGCAUCCAGUGUAUUAUUUCUCACUUUCAGGACUGUCUGAAUUCACACAUAAAGCCAGUAGAAGCAAACUACAUAAUUGUUUGAAACAAGGGAAAUAAAAGCGGACUUUUUGAUGUAAUGGUGUUUUAAGCAACAAUUAUUUUAAGCAGAAAUAAUUAGAUUUCCCUUCAGUAGCAUAUAAUAGCAUAUAUUUAGGGACAAAAUCAAAAUAUAUAUCAACAUUAUUCCCUCACACGGAAACAAGUAUGGGGAAGAGUCUGAAGGAUGGAGACCAAGGAAGUGCUGCUCAUAUAAUUUUUCCCAAAGCAGUUUGAUUCAGAGGUCUGAUGGAAACCCACUCACAUCACAAGGAUUGAAGAGAGCACAAAGGAGAAAAAAUACAAAACAUUGAAAGAAAAAUGGAGGAAAAGAAGACCACUAACCACAAACAAAAACUACAUCACUGGUCAAGCAUGCUGAUGGCUACUAACAGUGGAGCCAGGAUCAUUGCUUCUGUAAAGUUGGAUAGGAGGCUGUUUAUUGGAUGUUAUUAAAGAUGUAAACAAAUAGAAUACUUUAGGCUCCUACUAAGACGUUGGAUUCAAAAGGUUCUAUUCUUUUUCGGUCUCUUCAAGUCUGUUUCAGCAGACCUGUUCAUGUUAGUCACAGCUUGUUUAAUAUUCCAUCUGAGUUAGUCCUCAUUAGUAGUAAUUUAACUGACAAAUCUAAUGUCACAUACAACCUAGUAUCGCCAAAACUGUGCUUUCCAUUACCAUUUUUGUUUUAGCAUGCACAAUAUACUGUGACCCAUGCCAGUCUUAUUUUCAAUGCACAGCUCUGGAAAUGGCAUUCUGCUGAAGUGAAAUUCUCACAUUCUUCUUCAGCUGCUGCUUAAAGGGAAACUGGCUACUGAAUCAAUAAACCAAAGCACUUAUCUAGUCAGAAAAACGUGGAUAGUGUGCAGUGCUAGGAAGGAUCUGUGUGGACACUGCUGGUACAAGCUGUUCCUCAUCUAUGUCUAUACAUACCAUAAACCAAAUAUGCCAAGUCUGUUACUAUUCUUAAUGAAAAACUGAAGUCUACAUAGUGAGUGAUGAAACUUAAAUUCAGUUCUAAAUCUUUACCAAGCCACAGUAAAAGCCAAUCAUCACUUGUUUCAAAUAGGAAGAAAUGAAUGCUUUGUUCUCAAAGUGUUGCUAAGUUCAUGUACUGAUUUUUCAGGGGGAAAACGUUAGCAACUUAAGAAUAUGUACUGAGUUUGCAUGGCAAGGUUUUGGUAGUGAGGGCACUACAGAGGUGGCUACUGUGAGAAACUGCCAGAAACUUCCCUCAUGUCCGGCAGAGCCAACGCCAGAUGGCUCCAGGACAGAUCUGCAGCUGGCCAAGGCCAAGCCCAUCAGCCGGUGGCAGGGCUUCUGAGGUAACAGAUUUAAGAAGAGGGAAAAAAAAAAAACCUGCUGUGGGGGGAACAGGAGUGGAGAGAGGAGUAAGAAUAUUUGAGAGGAACACCUGUUCAGACACUGAGGUCAGUGCAGAAGGAGGGGGAGGAGAUGCAGAGAUUCCCGUACAGCCCAUGGUGCAGAUCAUGGUGAGACAAGCUGCCCCCCUGCAGCCCAUGAAGGUCCACGGUGGAGCAGAGAUUCACUGCAGCCCAUGGAGGACCCCACACCAAAGCAGGUGGGUGCCCGAAGGAGUCUGUGACCCCGUGAGAAGCCCACAGUGGAAUAGGGCCCUGUCAGGACCUGUAGCCUUGGGGAGAGAGGAGCCCAUGCUGGACCAGGUUUGCUGGCAGGACUUGUGACUCUGCAGGGGACCCAUGCUGGAGUGGUAGCCCAUUAGAAGGACUGACAUUGGAGAAGUUCAUGGAGGACUGUCCUCUGUAGGAGGGACCCAUGCUGGAACAGGGGAAGAGUGGUAGAAGGAAGAAGCAGCAGAGACAAUGUUUGAUGAAGUGACUGUAGUACAGUACAAGUAUUAAACUCCUACAAAUCAGGACUGGAAUAAUCUCCUGCUUCUGUGCACGGCUUGUAGAACUGAU
Chiroxiphia lanceolata (lance-tailed manakin) is the source of this 2419-nucleotide long non-coding RNA. RefSeq lists it as uncharacterized. The transcript has 4 exons. The record is from RefSeq and is a predicted model, not a curated record. NCBI's taxonomy places the organism in Eukaryota, Metazoa, Chordata, Aves, Passeriformes, Pipridae.